GAUGAAGAACGUAGCGAAAUGCGAUACUUGGUGUGAAUUGCAGAAUCCCGUGAACCAUCGAGUCUUUGAACGCAAGUUGCGCCCGAAGCCAUUAGGCCGAGGGCACGCCUGCCUGGGCGUCACACGUCGUUGCCCCCCCAUCUACUCCUUCGGGAUUGCGGGGGGCGGAUGAUGGCCUCCCGUGCGCCUCGUCGCGCGGUUGGCAUAAAUGCCAAGUCCUCGGCGACGCACGCCACGACAAUCGGUGGUUGCGAAACCUCGGUUGCCCGUCGUGUGCGGUCGUCGCGCAUCGAGGGCUCGAAAAAAUUGUCAGGCUCCGGCUCGGCUUUCAACGCGACCCCAGGUCAGGCGGGGUUACCCGCUGAAUUUAAGCAUAUCAAUAAGCGGAGGA
This 391-nucleotide unclassified non-coding RNA is filed under the name soil metagenome. RNAcentral describes it as "partial contains 5.8S ribosomal RNA, internal transcribed spacer 2, and large subunit ribosomal RNA". The stretch from base 1 to 122 matches the Rfam family "5.8S ribosomal RNA", at positions 35 to 154 of the family's 154-position model. The record is from RNAcentral.